GAUGAACGCUGGCGGCGUGCUUAACACAUGCAAGUCGAACGAAGCACUUAUCAUGAAGUUUUCGGAUGGAUUGAUAAAUGACUGAGUGGCGGACGGGUGAGUAACGCGUGGGUAACCUGCCUUAUACAGGGGGAUAACAGUUGGAAACGACUGCUAAUACCGCAUAAGCGCACAGUGCUGCAUGGUACCGUGCGAAAAGAUUUAUCGGUAUAAGAUGGACCCGCGUCUGAUUAGCUGGUUGGUGGGGUAACGGCUUACCAAGGCGACGAUCAGUAGCCGGCUUGAGAGAGUGAACGGCCACAUUGGGACUGAGACACGGCCCAAACUCCUACGGGAGGCAGCAGUGGGGAAUAUUGCACAAUGGGGGAAGCCCUGAUGCAGCGACGCCGCGUGAGUGAAGAAGUAUUUCGGUAUGUAAAGCUCUAGCAGCAGGGACGAAAGAAGUUGAAAGACACUUCCUGACGGUACCUGACUAAGAAGCCCCGGCUAACUACGUGCCAGCAGCCGCCGUAA
This 513-nucleotide ribosomal RNA is filed under the name uncultured bacterium. Its description in RNAcentral is "partial 16S ribosomal RNA". It matches the Rfam family "Bacterial small subunit ribosomal RNA", at positions 28 to 523 of the family's 1533-position model. The record is from RNAcentral.